UCUUAGAAAUAUUUAGAGCAUAAGAAAUAUAAUCAAAAAUCAAUUAAUUAAAGGUACAGAAAUUCCCGAAUUUAUCUCUCUAGAUAGUUUCAUAACAAAUUUUCAAGUGGAUCUUAAUUUUAAUUGUGAAAAGUGUAAAAUAUUUUAAAAUAGUAACUAUGUUCAAUCCUAUAACUGGCGCUCAAAGACAAUCAAAUCAAAAGUAAUUUCAGUUGAAAUCAGAUUACAUUUAAACGACGUUCUUUAGAAUGAAUAAAUCACAAAGGAGUUCUAACCUUGAGACACAAAAGCGAAACCAGAUAAAGGUCUGAUGGGAACCGAUGCAGCGCUUCAACGGCCAAACCCCUGCAGCAACGCCGAUUGUUCACAAACAAUUGAAGCCUUUUAAAAAAAUCCUUUUCAUGACCAAUCAAGGAUAUGAAAUUGUUAUAAACUAUAAUUGUUUUGGAUUCAAAAGCAAAAAUAAACACAGAUUUAUUAAAUA
Danaus plexippus (monarch butterfly) is the source of this 484-nucleotide long non-coding RNA. RefSeq lists it as uncharacterized. The record is from RefSeq and is a predicted model, not a curated record. The transcript has 2 exons. NCBI's taxonomy places the organism in Eukaryota, Metazoa, Arthropoda, Insecta, Lepidoptera, Nymphalidae.